This 393-nucleotide ribosomal RNA is filed under the name uncultured bacterium. RNAcentral's name for it is "partial 16S ribosomal RNA". It matches the Rfam family "Bacterial small subunit ribosomal RNA", at positions 523 to 918 of the family's 1533-position model. The record is from RNAcentral.
AUACGUAGGUGACAAGCGUUAUCCGGAUUUACUGGGCGUAAAGGGCGUGUAGGCGGUCUUGCAAGUCAGAAGUGAAAUUCCUGAGCUCAACUCGGGCGCUGCUUCUGAAACUGCAGGACUUGAGUGCUGGAGGGGAUAGCGGAAUUCCUAGUGGAGCGGUAAAAUGCGCAGAUAUUAGGAAGAACACCGGUGGCGAAGGCGGCUAUCUGGACAGUAACUGACGCUGAGGCGCGAAAGCGUGGGGAGCAAACAGGAUUAGAUACCCUGGUAGUCCACGCUAUAAACGAUGAGUGCUAGGUGUCGGGGGUCAAACCUCGGUGCCGCAGUUAACACAUUAAGCACUCCGCCUGGGGAGUACGGCCGCAAGGCUGAAACUCAAAUGAAUUGACGGGG